RNAcentral lists this long non-coding RNA (835 nucleotides) under Nicotiana benthamiana. RNAcentral's name for it is "long non-coding RNA (NBEN_LNC019326)". Lineage: Eukaryota; Viridiplantae; Streptophyta; Magnoliopsida; Solanales; Solanaceae. The record is from RNAcentral.
UUAAUUAAUAAGUUUGACAAUUGGAAAAUUCCCCCCAAUAUUCCCACAGUUUCCACAAGCUACAAAUUUGAAUUUCAGCUCCAAAAAACUAGAUCUGGAAUUCUAAAGCUCUUUUAGAUCUUAUUUUCUUCAGAAAACCAAAAAUUUAGAAGAAAAAACUCAGAAAAAAACUUUUCUAUUGAAAUUUUAGGUUGAUUUCGUAUUGUUGUGUUUGAUUUGCAUCAUUUAGCCUAGGGUCUGAUUGUUAAAGUUUUCUGGGGUUUCCUGGGUUCAUCUCGAGUGCUCUGAGUUCAAUCGACACUGUUUUGGGUCGUUUUAUUGGUUGCUGAUCAGAAUUUGUCCUGGUCUAAUUUUGAGUUUGUUUAGGGUUCAUUCAAGCUGUUUUGGUUGGUUCAUUGGUGUUGUUUGCAUUAAAACCUUUCCUGGUCUAUUUUCAUAUCAUUUCUGGGUUUAUAAGAGAUUACGAGCUUGUUGAUUCCUGUUGUUCAACACUGCUGUGUGUUGUUUAUUGUAUCCACAUGUAUGAACCUAUUUUGAAGUUAAAUGACGAGGAACAUCUGUUUGCACCUGAUCCUUUGCUUUUGUUAUUUCAGCUUAGAAAUUUAGCUUUACUGUUUGUUUGAACAAUUUUUUAAAUGCAUUGAUUCGGACGUUAUGGACUGUAUUGGACUACUGCAUUUUUUAUCAAAUUCUAUGGUUAUUCUGUUGAAGAAUGUUAGAUUUGAUUUGCUUUAGUUUAUUACCAUGUUUUAGAUUUAGGCUCAGGAUAUGAUGUUGGUUCACUAGUACUGAUUUAGUUGUAUUAAAAAAUAUUGAACAUAUAAUUAGAAUUCUA